CUGCACUGAUCAGUGCUGAUCUGAUCUGCACUGAUUUGUGCAGAUCAGAUCAGCACAGAUCAGUGCAGAACAGAUCAGCACAGAUCAGUGCUGAUCUGAUCAGCACUGAUCUAUGCUGAUCAGAUCU
Spinacia oleracea (spinach) is the source of this 127-nucleotide small nucleolar RNA. NCBI's taxonomy places the organism in Eukaryota, Viridiplantae, Streptophyta, Magnoliopsida, Caryophyllales, Amaranthaceae. The record is from RefSeq and is a predicted model, not a curated record.